UGCAAAGGUUAUUAAGGAUCUGAUGGAUC
This 29-nucleotide small RNA is filed under the name Bombyx mori (domestic silkworm). RNAcentral describes it as "ovarian small RNA-33265". Lineage: Eukaryota; Metazoa; Arthropoda; Insecta; Lepidoptera; Bombycidae. The record is from RNAcentral.